AUUGAACGCUGGCGGCAGGCUUAACACAUGCAAGUCGAGCGAGCGGCGGACGGGUGAGGAAUGUCUGGGAAACUGCCUGAUGGAGGGGGAUAACUACUGGAAACGGUAGCUAAUACCGCAUACCAUCAGAUGGGCCCAGAGGGGAUUAGCUAGUAGGUGGGGUAAUGGCUCACCUAGGCGACGAUCCCUAGCUGGUCUGAGAGGAUGACCGGCCACACUGUAACCGAGACACGGUCCAGACUCCUACGGGAGGCAGCAGUAGGGAAUAUGGCACGAUGGGCGCAAGCCUGAUGCAGCCAUGCCGCGUGAGUGAAGAAGGCCUUCGGGUUGUAAAGCACUUUCGGCGGGGAGGCGUUACUCACAGAGGAAGCACCGGCUAACUCCGUGCCAGCAGCCGCGGUAAUAC
RNAcentral lists this ribosomal RNA (406 nucleotides) under uncultured bacterium. Its description in RNAcentral is "partial 16S ribosomal RNA". It matches the Rfam family "Bacterial small subunit ribosomal RNA", at positions 29 to 526 of the family's 1533-position model. The record is from RNAcentral.